GAGUUUGAUCCUGGCUCAGAUUGAACGCUGGCGGCAUGCCUUACACAUGCAAGUCGAACGGCAGCACGGGAGCUUGCUCCUGGUGGGCGAGUGGCGAACGGGUGAGUAAUGCAUCGGAACGUAUCCUGGAGUGGGGGAUAACGUAGCGAAAGUUACGCUAAUACCGCAUAUUCUGUGAGCAGGAAAGCGGGGGACCUUCGGGCCUCGCGCUCUUGGAGCGGCCGAUGUCGGAUUAGCUAGUUGGUGAGGUAAAGGCUCACCAAGGCGACGAUCCGUAGCAGGUCUGAGAGGAUGAUCUGCCACACUGGAACUGAGACACGGUCCAGACUCCUACGGGAGGCAGCAGUGGGAAUUUUGGACAAUGGGGCAACCCUGAUCCAGCCAUGCCGCGUGAGUGAAGAAGGCC
Molecule: ribosomal RNA, 406 nt
Filed under: bacterium enrichment culture clone ALO1_GLFRUDD03GFXF2
Lineage: Bacteria
Description: bacterial SSU rRNA
Rfam family: Bacterial small subunit ribosomal RNA
Source: RNAcentral